Molecule: transfer RNA, 58 nt
Organism: Streptomyces sp. MnatMP-M17
Lineage: Bacteria; Bacillati; Actinomycetota; Actinomycetes; Kitasatosporales; Streptomycetaceae
Rfam family: tRNA
About the family: Transfer RNA (tRNA) molecules are approximately 80 nucleotides in length. Their secondary structure includes four short double-helical elements and three loops (D, anti-codon, and T loops). Further hydrogen bonds mediate the characteristic L-shaped molecular structure. tRNAs have two regions of fundamental functional importance: the anti-codon, which is responsible for specific mRNA codon recognition, and the 3' end, to which the tRNAs corresponding amino acid is attached (by aminoacyl-tRNA synthetases). tRNAs cope with the degeneracy of the genetic code in two manners: having more than one tRNA (with a specific anti-codon) for a particular amino acid; and 'wobble' base-pairing, i.e. permitting non-standard base-pairing at the 3rd anti-codon position.
Source: Rfam
GUGGGAGAGCGCUUCGUUCACACCGAAGAGGUCACUGGUUCGAACCCAGUAUCGCCCA